Molecule: ribosomal RNA, 214 nt
Filed under: uncultured Staphylococcus sp.
Lineage: Bacteria; Bacillati; Bacillota; Bacilli; Caryophanales; Staphylococcaceae
Description: partial 16S ribosomal RNA
Rfam family: Bacterial small subunit ribosomal RNA
Source: RNAcentral
UACACUAUAAGACUGGGAUAACUUCGGGAAACCGGAGCUAAUACCGGAUAAUAUAUUGAACCGCAUGGUUCAAUAGUGAAAGACGGUUUUGCUGUCACUUAUAGAUGGAUCCGCGCCGCAUUAGCUAGUUGGUAAGGUAACGGCUUACCAAGGCGACGAUGCGUAGCCGACCUGAGAGGGUGAUCGGCCACACUGGAACUGAGACACGGUCCAG